UACGUAGGGUGCGAGCGUUAAUCGGAAUUACUGGGCGUAAAGCGUGCGCAGGCGGUUUUGUAAGCCAGGUGUGAAAUCCCCGGGCUCAACCUGGGAAUGGCAUUUGGGACUGCAAGGCUGGAGUGCGGCAGAGGAGACGUGGAAUUCCUGGUGUAGCAGUGAAAUGCGUAGAUAUCAGGAGGAAUACCGAUGGCGAAGGCAGGUCUCGUGGGACUGACAC
This 220-nucleotide ribosomal RNA is filed under the name uncultured bacterium. Its description in RNAcentral is "partial 16S ribosomal RNA". It matches the Rfam family "Bacterial small subunit ribosomal RNA", at positions 524 to 746 of the family's 1533-position model. The record is from RNAcentral.